GCCUUAAUGGAGGUGGAAAAGGGAGAGUAGAGUUCAAUAUAACUAUCUGAGGCACGAUUAUUGCUAAUUGAAAACUUUUCCCAAUAUCCCGCCAUGACGACUUGAAAUAUAGUCGGCAUUGGCAAUUUUUGACAGCCCUUAUGGGGG
Molecule: small nuclear RNA, 147 nt
Organism: Lemur catta (Ring-tailed lemur)
Lineage: Eukaryota; Metazoa; Chordata; Mammalia; Primates; Lemuridae
Product: U4 spliceosomal RNA
Exons: 1
Source: RefSeq, a predicted model, not a curated record